UACGAAGGGGGCUAGCGUUGUUCGGAAUCACUGGGCGUAAAGGGCGCGUAGGCGGCUUUAUAAGUCGGGGGUGAAAGCCUGUGGCUCAACCACAGAAUUGCCUUCGAUACUGUAGAGCUUGAGACCGGAAGAGGUAAGUGGAACUGCGAGUGUAGAGGUGAAAUUCGUAGAUAUGGGGAGGAACACCGGUGGCGAAGGCGGCCAUCUGGACGGAUACUGACGCUGAGACGCGAAAGCGUGGGGAGCAAACAGG
Molecule: ribosomal RNA, 253 nt
Filed under: uncultured bacterium
Lineage: Bacteria
Description: partial 16S ribosomal RNA
Rfam family: Bacterial small subunit ribosomal RNA
Source: RNAcentral